Molecule: ribosomal RNA, 258 nt
Filed under: Triticum aestivum (bread wheat)
Lineage: Eukaryota; Viridiplantae; Streptophyta; Magnoliopsida; Poales; Poaceae
Description: partial small subunit ribosomal RNA
Source: RNAcentral
AUGCUGAUAUACCUAAAGCAUACACUGAAGCUAAGAAUGUUCUUAGUGAAGUCGGGCUGGGUUACGAGACAAUUCAUGUUUGCAAGUUUGAUUGUGCAUUGUUUUGGGGCCAACAUGCCAACAAGAGCCAUUGUCCUGAAUGCGGGACAUCAAAAUGGAAAGACGAGGUGGGGAGGAAAAAGAUACCUCACAAGGUACUUAGGUACUUUCCUAUCAUCCCAAGGCUUCAAAGAUUUUUUGUGUCAAAGGAACAAUUAG